Molecule: long non-coding RNA, 206 nt
Filed under: Capsicum annuum
Lineage: Eukaryota; Viridiplantae; Streptophyta; Magnoliopsida; Solanales; Solanaceae
Description: long non-coding RNA (CANN_LNC002045)
Source: RNAcentral
CGCCCAUAGAUUCCUAUACAUUAUUGUUAAUUAAUAAAUCUACUUACUUUUUCCACAAUUUGUUGCAGCCUACUCACGUUCUCAUAAAACUAAUAGGGAAAAUCCUAUUCAUCCAUAACCAAUCAUCCUUGUACCAUUAGGUUAUAGAAAAAUCAUUAACUAAUGCAAUUACUUACUCACUUGAAGCCGCAGUCGGCACUCCUCCA